RNAcentral lists this ribosomal RNA (489 nucleotides) under uncultured bacterium. RNAcentral describes it as "bacterial SSU rRNA". It matches the Rfam family "Bacterial small subunit ribosomal RNA", at positions 32 to 497 of the family's 1533-position model. The record is from RNAcentral.
AAUCAACGCUGGCGGCGUGCCUAACACAUGCAAGUCGAACGCGAAAGCCCCUUCGGGGGUAAGUAGAGUGGCGUCCGGGUGAGUAACACGUGGGUAAUCUACCUUCGGGUGGGGAAUAACUCAGGGAAACUUGAGCUAAUACCGCAUAAAGCAGCGGCACCUAAUGGUGAUUAGUUGUUAAAGCGGGGGAUCGCAAGACCUCGCGCCUGAAGAGGAGCCUGCGGCAGAUUAGCUAGNGGUGAGGUAAUGGCUCACCAAGGCAUCGAUCUGUAGCUGGUCUGAGAGGACGGCCAGCCACACUGGCACUGACACACGGGCCAGACUCCUACGGGAGGCAGCAGUGGGGAAUUUUGGGCAAUGGGCGAAAGCCUGACCCAGCAACGCCGCGUGAAGGAGGAAAUCCUUCGGGAUGUAAACUUCAUAAGUAAGGGAAGAAAGCUGCGGAUCGAAUAAGUCCGCAGUCCGACGGUACCUUACGUAAGCCACGGC